AUAGCUUCUCAGCUUUAUGGCUAAGAUCCAGUAUAGCGUCUGUUCUUAUCA
RNAcentral lists this small nuclear RNA (51 nucleotides) under Cervus elaphus hippelaphus. It matches the Rfam family "U2 spliceosomal RNA", at positions 1 to 51 of the family's 192-position model. From Rfam's summary of the family: U2 is a small nuclear RNA (snRNA) component of the spliceosome (involved in pre-mRNA splicing). Lineage: Eukaryota; Metazoa; Chordata; Mammalia; Artiodactyla; Cervidae. The record is from RNAcentral.